This 253-nucleotide ribosomal RNA is filed under the name uncultured bacterium. RNAcentral's name for it is "partial 16S ribosomal RNA". It matches the Rfam family "Bacterial small subunit ribosomal RNA", at positions 524 to 776 of the family's 1533-position model. The record is from RNAcentral.
UACGUAGGGGGCAAGCGUUGUCCGGAAUUAUUGGGCGUAAAGAGCGCGUAGGCGGUCCGAUAAGUCGGCUGUGAAAGUCAGGGGCUCAACCCUUGAAAGCCGGCCGAUACUGUCGGACUAGAGUCCGGAAGAGGCAAGUGGAAUUCCCGGUGUAGCGGUGAAAUGCGUAGAUAUCUGGAGGAAUACCGGUGGCGAAGGCGGCAUCCUGGACCGGCAUUGACGCUGAGGAGCGAAAGCUAGGGGAGCAAACGGG